Long non-coding RNA from Diabrotica virgifera virgifera (western corn rootworm), 1274 nucleotides. RefSeq lists it as uncharacterized. Lineage: Eukaryota; Metazoa; Arthropoda; Insecta; Coleoptera; Chrysomelidae. The transcript has 2 exons. The record is from RefSeq and is a predicted model, not a curated record.
UAUACGCUUGCGCAUUAAUGGUUGAACUCCCGUAUCGCGAUACGUAUUACCUAAGGUUACGGGCUGGUACGUUAGGUUCAUACGCAUCCCUAUCGAGCCGAAAGUCACCGAAUGCACACGAGGAUCUUGCCCGAUUACCUACCAAAUGAACAUUUCAUCAGCGUACUAUCCGUUUAUUAGGCAAUCCAAACCACGUGACCUCUGGUUGGCACACAAACUAACAAAGAGGUUAUGUUUGCAUCUAUUUUUCAAUGAUUUUUCAUUGUUUAUCGUCGUAUUUUGGAUUCAUUUGGAUUUCGUUUCCUGUUUUUGUGAACUUUAUAAACUUUACCACAAUGCAAACUGAUUAUUUAAGGAAAUUAUUAUUGGAAACUCCAGAUGUUGCGAGAAAGGUAGGCGAAACAAUUUUUUUUACUGUUCAUUUUGCCCCGAUAUUUAUCAAUAAUGAUGAAUUUUGCAAGCAAUAACAUUAUUUCUUUUAUUGUUCUGGAUAUUUAUUGAAGCUGAAAAUAAUUGGGGAUUUAGAUCCAUACGCAAUUCAGUCAGAAUUGGAUUUUACAGUAAAGUGCAGUCCAUCAAGUUACUAUUAUAGAUAUUUAUACAUAUCUGGUGGAGUCUGAUAUGUCACAGUUGCUACUCUAAGCAGCAGAUGAAAGCAUACAAAAGCCUUCAGGCACAUAAAUAUUUUACAGCUGGAUUUGUUUUGAAUGGAGUAAAAAUUGUUAAUGAUUUCCAUAUUAUUGUCGGAAAGGUGAAGCAUUUCCAAAAAUCUAAUGCUAAACGACUAAAUGCUUGGGUGGGGUGAUAGCCAGUUCUGAUGACAUAGCAAAUUCACAUUGUAUGCGUAUGGCCGGUAAUAGUGAAGUCUGCAGCCAUAUUGCAGCAAUCCUAUGUUUAGCUUAGUAUGCUCAGGGCAAGACAGACGAAGAAGAACCCAAUGUAUGUACAUAUGUUACAGCUACAUGGUUUGGAGAUAGCAACAUAUGCAUUCUCUGAUGAAAAACUAAUGAGUUUUGAAACUGUUCGGUCAGAGUGCUUGUUGCGCUCACUAAACGAAUUGAAAUAUAAGAUGGCUUUGGCAUUGUGUUGCAGCCAUAUGAAAAUGGUUAUUCAUUUUUAAUUAUAAUGUACUUCUUCAUCAUGAGUAAUUAUGUAUUGGUCUUUUAAAUGUGUAUUUAUUUUUGUAAUUAGUAUCAACUUGUAAUGAUAAUAUACAUUUAUCGUUUAAGGUAUGACUAUGUUUUGACUCUAAAAUAAAUGUUUUAAAAAUCGAA